Molecule: long non-coding RNA, 1341 nt
Organism: Dendrobium catenatum
Lineage: Eukaryota; Viridiplantae; Streptophyta; Magnoliopsida; Asparagales; Orchidaceae
Exons: 2
Source: RefSeq, a predicted model, not a curated record
GAAAAUUUAUAGUUAGUUGCUCUCAGCUAAAAAAUUCUUGUUGCAGUUCUUGCUAUAUGUCUCCUUGCCUUUUCGUCCACCUUCUAGUAUAAUGUACUUAUUGGAUUUCUAUGAGCAUCUACAUUGAUUUUCCUUCUUCUCAUGAAUCUAAAUGUGUUUUCCAUUGUAAGAAAUUGUCAAGUGCUUCCUUUUUUAUGCUGUUACAUCUAAUGUGUGGAAGGAAAUGAUGAUUUAUUUUCACUCUUUUUUGUGUGAUAGUGAAAUUAUUUUUAUUUGUGGUGAUUCUGAGAAGGUUUUUGAAGCUUAAGGUAGAUUUCAAAGCAUAUCCAACUAAAAAAAUGGAUCUAACAGAUUUCAUAUUGCCUUAGAGUUUGUUUUCUAACUCCAAGCAACCAAAUUGGGGAGCCAGUUCAAAAUGCUUUCAUCUGAACUGGAGGAAUGUGACCGCUUUGGCUUCGCAUCUAUUACAUUAUUUGUCAUCUUUUGUCAGUGUUCUUUGAAAUCAUCAUCGGUGGGUUAGAAUUUCAUGGAUAGAAAUCCAAAUUUGCAAUGAAAACAAAAUACGAAAUUAUGGCUUCCAUAUUAUUUCAAUGACUGUAAUAUCAGUCCUUUUCAACAGUCACUCAAACAUUAAUGAAAGUCGUUUGUGUCCAUCCUUAUUAAGCUUAAAUGAUAUGUGAACUUAUUUUUGCAGGUAUUACAAAGUUAUCGAAGCUGAUCACAUAUUUUUUAUUAUAAAUCGGGAGAGAGCAGGAGUUCAGUUUGAUCUUUUGUAUGAUAGCAUUUUUGAGCGCUGCAGAAAGCAUGUUUUCCGGAUGACUCCACCACCAGUAGUUCCAAAUCACAGCAACCAUUAGGCCAUUUGUUCUCCAUAGUUAGUUGAAGGUCAGGUUGCGUUCCUUAGGAGCAUUUGGAAUAACAUAGUAAAUGCUAAUAUAGUGUUAGACCGGUCCUUGAACUGGUCUAGCCGAUCCAUCCUGGAUCGACCUUAUUUUACCAGAGUCGGAACAGAUGUUUCGCCCCAGCCAAUGCAGACCCGUUUGGGGGUGGGUUCCAUUAACCAUAUUAACAAGGGUAUAGGAAGGAAAUUUUAAAAGGAGAGGCUGUUUUGGAACUAGGGGGAAUUAUUGUAUGCUUUUAGGGGAAUUAUUUUCUUGGGUUUGGAUUAUUGAAUGUUUUUCUGAGUUUUAUUUUCCUAAGGAGAAAGAGGGACUCUAGUGGGCUGCUAGGGUUUGGGAGAGCCGGAUCUUUCUCUCAAAUCAAAUAUCCAUUGUAUCUUGCUUGUUUUCUUCUUCCUACCAUCAAUUAAAACAUGUCUUUUUUUUUGUGUUUCUAUCAAAA